GGGAGCUUGCUCCCUUAGGUCAGCGGCGGACGGGUGAGUAACACGUGGGUAACCUGCCUGUAAGACUGGGAUAACUCCGGGAAACCGGGGCUAAUACCGGAUGCUUGAUUGAACCGCAUGGUUCAAUCAUAAAAGGUGGCUUUUAGCUACCACUUACAGAUGGACCCGCGGCGCAUUAGCUAGUUGGUGAGGUAACGGCUCACCAAGGCGACGAUGCGUAGCCGACCUGAGAGGGUGAUCGGCCACACUGGGACUGAGACACGGCCCAGACUCCUACGGGAGGCAGCAGUAGGGAAUCUUCCGCAAUGGACGAAAGUCUGACGGAGCAACGCCGCGUGAGUGAUGAAGGUUUUCGGAUCGUAAAACUCUGUUGUUAGGGAAGAACAAGUACCGUUCGAAUAGGGCGGCACCUUGACGGUACCUAACCAGAAAGCCACGGCUAACUACGUGCCAGCAGCCGCGGUAAUACGUAGGUGGCAAGCGUUGUCCGGAAUUAUUGGGCGUAAAGCGCGCGCAGGCGGUUUCUUAAGUCUGAUGUGAAAGCCCCCGGCUCAACCGGGGAGGGUCAUUGGAAACUGGGGAACUUGAGUGCAGAAGAGGAGAGUGGAAUUCCACGUGUAGCGGUGAAAUGCGUAGAGAUGUGGAGGAACACCAGUGGCGAAGGCGACUCUCUGGUCUGUAACUGACGCUGAGGCGCGAAAGCGUGGGGAGCGAACAGGAUUAGAUACCCUGGUAGUCCACGCCGUAAACGAUGAGUGCUAAGUGUUAGAGGGUUUCCGCCCUUUAGUGCUGCAGCAAACGCAUUAAGCACUCCGCCUGGGGAGUACGGUCGCAAGACUGAAACUCAAAGRAAUUGACGGGGGCCCGCACAAGCGGUGGAGCAUGUKGUUUAAUUCGAAGCAACGCGAARAACCUUACCAGGUCUUGACAUCSUCUGACAACCCUAGAGAUAGGGCUUCCCCUUCGGGGGCAGAGUGACAGGUGGUGCAUGGUUGUCGUCAGCUCGUGUCGUGAGAUGUUGGGUUAAGUCCCGCAACGAGCGCAACCCUUGAUCUUAGUUGCCAGCAUUCAGUUGGGCACUCUAAGGUGACUGCCGGUGACAAACCGGAGGAAGGUGGGGAUGACGUCAAAUCAUCAUGCCCCUUAUGACCUGGGCUACACACGUGCUACAAUGGGCAGAACAAAGGGCAGCGAAGCCGCGAGGCUAAGCCAAUCCCACAAAUCUGUUCUCAGUUCGGAUCGCAGUCUGCAACUCGACUGCGUGAAGCUGGAAUCGCUAGUAAUCGCGGAUCAGCAUGCCGCGGUGAAUACGUUCCCGGGCCUUGUACACACCGCCCGUCACACCACGAGAGUUUGUAACUCCGGAUGUCGGUGAGC
RNAcentral lists this ribosomal RNA (1377 nucleotides) under Bacillus subtilis subsp. subtilis. RNAcentral describes it as "16S ribosomal RNA". It matches the Rfam family "Bacterial small subunit ribosomal RNA", at positions 74 to 1435 of the family's 1533-position model. Lineage: Bacteria; Bacillati; Bacillota; Bacilli; Caryophanales; Bacillaceae. The record is from RNAcentral.